AACAACUGUGAUGAACUCUACAUACCUGUAGUGAUUUGCGAAUAUGAUCGCAAUUGUAAUGAACAUCUAAGGGACUGAGUUGUU
This 84-nucleotide small nucleolar RNA is filed under the name Olea europaea subsp. europaea. RNAcentral's name for it is "Small nucleolar RNA SNORD25". It matches the Rfam family "Small nucleolar RNA SNORD25". From Rfam's summary of the family: U25 is a member of the C/D class of snoRNA which contain the C (UGAUGA) and D (CUGA) box motifs. U25 is found in gene clusters in plants, and within the U22 snoRNA host gene (UHG) in mammals. Lineage: Eukaryota; Viridiplantae; Streptophyta; Magnoliopsida; Lamiales; Oleaceae. The record is from Rfam by way of RNAcentral.